AUUUUUGCCCAAAAGUUUGGAGAUGCUCUUUGAUGUGAAGUAUCUUACGGAAAAAUUGUUACUUGGUUCAAUUCAGUUUUUCUGGAGUGAGGGACUUGAUUUUUUUUUUUUUUCUUUCUUUUCUUUUCCCAGUGCUGUUUGGCACAAUGAGCUUAUAUGUGUUUGGGGUUAAAAAUCACCUGCAAAGGAUGGUAGCCCAGGGUUUUGGGUGGACAGCCUGGUGGGCCUGAUUAGAGCUGUCAUUUCCUGGUCGUCACGAAAUAACCACCCACAGUAGCAUUGCGUAUGUAGUGUAGGUGAGCUUUCUUAAAGCUUUGUAUUCUCGAUUUCUUUUCCUGUAAACAUCCAGUGUACUGAGUCUGUAUCAUUCCUUAAGACAGCCCUAUAGCUUGCCUUUGUAAUCCCUUCUAUAAUGUGGAAGGAAGCACAAAGAAACUCUUAAACUCAUGUGCUCUCAAGACUAUCUCCCAUGUUUGUUUUUUUGUUUUUUUUUUUUUUUCUUUUUGGUGUUUGGGUUUUGUUUUGUUUUGUUUUUAAAUGGACGUGCGGGGAAUUCCCUUGUGGCACAGUGGAUCCGGAGUUGUCACGGCAGCAGCUCAGCAGCUCAGGUCGACACUGGCGUGGGUUCGCGAUCCCUGACCCUGGGAGCUUCCACAUGCUGCAGGUGUGGCCAAAAAAAAAAAAAAGAGAAAGAAAUGGACGUGGGUAGAUAUUGUUGUUAUCUGUGAAGCUGCCCUGACCUCUCCUGUCAUUCAUCUUUCAUCAUUCAUUCCUUCAUUCUGCAAACAUUUCGUUGAGGGCCUGCCUUGCUUGGAAAGGCCAGCUGAGAGCUUCAGGAGUUUGCUGUAGCUGAGGCGCCCUGGGAGCGGCUGGUGAACCAGGGGAUGCUAGUAGCUAAGGCUGUCCUAGGUGGAGCCGCAGUCCUCCCGAGCGGAAAGAUCAAAUGGAUCCUGGUGAUCGGCGGAGGCUCGUGGGCUUCCUGAGCACGUCUCUUCUGUCCUGGAAACCAAAAGUGCCCUUCAUUUUUGGAGACAUUUUUAAUGUCACAUCUUCUUUUUCAGACCGAGCUGUCUGCCCCAUAGGGGCUGGAAAUCCAUUACGAAGUCACUUUGCAUUAGAAUGUGGUCACCUGGGUUGGUAGGCGAUUUGCAGAGAUUUCUGGGGAUGGGGAUGGGGGUGGGGAGGAAAGCAGUCAGCCCUCUAAAAGAGCUGUCACGACAAAACACAGCAGCAGAGUGGAAAGGCGACCGCGGUGGCCGCCUUGAGGAACCGUGGAGCCGAAGAGCCGUGAACAACGCUCCUCUAUUUCAAAUAAUAUGUUUUGAAACGUAGAUGCACAUCGGACGUCAAGUUUCCUUUUGGACAAAUUAGUGACCAGCUGCAGUUAGCAGUUAGUUUCCUGUGUAGGUGACAGGAACUCUCGGAUGCAAAGAUCACCAGUGUCUCCAGGUCGGGUAUUUGAGACAGUAUGCACAUCAUAAGCACAGUUUCAAUAAAACGCAUAUUCUGUGAGGCGCGUCGCGCUUUGUCUUAUUUGGAAUUUGAGAAGAGCAAAACUUGCUGACAAACCAGUGCCUAUGUCGUCAACAUAAACACACAAGAUCGCUGUUCCUGCGCAGGCAGCCUUUGCUUUCACAAAGGGUACGUUUCUGCUAAACCUGACUGAAACGAACGCUCAGUCUCACACUCCCUUUCGUGUUUAUUUUGGCAGCUGCAUUUUGAGCAUGACCACUCAUUUUUUUCCCCCAACUAAUGAAAAUAAUUUUGCAUGGCCUCCACCUAAACCCAGAAAGCAUGCUCUUACUAUCUAUGCAAGCAAUUAAUAAGAAAUACAGACUACUUAACACUCAAUGUAAGGGUUUAAAAAAAAAAAAAAAAGACAACGCUUAGAUUAUGGAGCUCUAUUUUUGUAAUUUUUUAAAUAUGGCUUAAUCAGUAUCAAGAGCAUGAAUGUGCUUUCGUGUUUGGAUUUCUUGUUUGGCUUUGCACAUGUUUCUCUGCCGAUUUUGGUUUUUGGAUCACAGGCAAGCUUGUGUGUAAAGUGCAUAUUUUGCAAACAGGAGUGGAAUUGGGUUAUGUUGAACACACACUGGUUUAUAAUACCGUGUCUUUAGCCUGAAGACUUUCCUAAAGAAUUUUGUUCUAAAAAUAACCUGCCAUUUUUUAUAGAUCUUCAUUUUUUAUAUCUUCUAGGGUUCUCUCGUGGUCACAAGGGAAGAAUGUGGCUUCUAAUAGUGCUAACAAUUUUCAAACACUUUUGUAGAGACUUAGAGCUGUUCUGGAAAGCUUCGGAGCUUCCCAGCCACGGGUCACGAGGACGCUGUGGAGCUUGCGGUAGCGUUGACAGUGGACUUGGUUCUAGAGUCACCUCACAUUCAUAUGAAACCAGUGUUUCCCGAUUUGGGGGAGCAGGCAGAUCUCUCACAGCCUUUUUCAAACCUCACACGUGUACUCUCCCCUGGGUUCUGUCAAGCCUUUUCUGCAGUCUUGAGAUUCUGGUACCCAACACCCACUAGAAUCAUCGAGGGAACUUUAAAAAAACGCCUGGGUCCCACUCCCCAACUUUUGAUCUAGUUAGUGUAGGGCAGGGCCCAGGAAUUCCCGUAUGCAUGUAAAGCUCCUAGCUCUUUCUGCUUUGCAGUCAGACCUGAGAACCGCUGUGGCAACACCCUGCCUUGGCUGAGAACUGCCGUGGGAAGGCCCCGGGAGCGACUCUUGUUUCCUCUGUUGCUUUGGAGAAAGAAGAAAAGAUGGUGAGCUUCUGACAUCAACCCUGUCUGAGACAAGGGGGGCUUCUUCUGCUUCGAGCUCUGAUUCAGGAGCUCAGAGCUUGCCCGCCUGGUGGGAGCCGGGGGUCUUGAGUUUGCUGGAACCAGCAGGAGUGUCCAGGGCGGGGGUGGGGGUUGCAUCCUUCCCAGGACUUUUUCUCUGGGCCAGACCCUUGCAGGAGGAAGGCAGUCGUCCAGAAAUGCUGAGCCAAGGCUUCCAGUGGCUUUGGAAAACCCGUCCUUGAUUUCAAUAAACCGAUGGUCACUUUGUAGUCAUUAUAAUAGCAAACCCUAGGCUGCUGCCCAGUGUCCUUCCUCUGUAGCUCACUCUGCUGUCUAGAAUGAAGUUUCAGGACUUUUGCUUUCUUUCUUUCUGUCUGUCUGUCUUUUUCGUUUAAAAGUGAAUGUGAAGCAUUUUAUGGGGGGUCUUUUUUUUCUUUGGCACCCUGGGUAUUUUUUUCAUGUCUUUAAAAAAAUCAAAUCAUAGUGCGCCCCACCUCGGGCCGUCUCUGUCACCUAUGGAGGCAGAUGAAAUUUAGUUUUAAUCUGUGGUGAGCUGAGUGCAUGACAAUGUCUUCACGAUAAGCUGCUGUGCUCCUCUGGCGGUUUCCCCCUGUGGAGGAGGAUGCUGUCU
Molecule: long non-coding RNA, 3402 nt
Filed under: Sus scrofa (pig)
Lineage: Eukaryota; Metazoa; Chordata; Mammalia; Artiodactyla; Suidae
Description: lncRNA (ENSSSCG00000044627.2)
Source: RNAcentral